UAGUGCAAUGGCAUAAGCCAGCUUGACUGCGAGCGUGACGGCGCGAGCAGGUGCGAAAGCAGGUCAUAGUGAUCCGGUGGUUCUGAAUGGAAGGGCCAUCGCUCAACGGAUAAAAGGUACUCCGGGGAUAACAGGCUGAUACCGCCCAAGAGUUCAUAUCGACGGCGGUGUUUGGCACCUCGAUGUCGGCUCAUCACAUCCUGGGGCUGAAGUAGGUCCCAAGGGUAUGGCUGUUCGCCAUUUAAAGUGGUACGCGAGCUGGGUUUAGAACGUCGUGAGACAGUUCGGUCCCUAUCUGCCGUGGGCGCUGGAGAANCGCUGGAGAACUGAGGGGGGCUGCUCCUAGUACGAGAGGACCGGAGUGGACGCAUCACUGGUGUUCGGGUUGUCAUGCCAAUGGCACUGCCCGGUAGCUAAAUGCGGAAGAGAUAAGUGCUGAAAGCAUCUAAGCACGAAACUUGCCCCGAGAUGAGUUCUCCCUGACUCCUUGAGAGUCCUGAAGGAACGUUGAAGACGACGACGUU
This 524-nucleotide ribosomal RNA is filed under the name Escherichia coli. Its description in RNAcentral is "bacterial LSU rRNA". It matches the Rfam family "Bacterial large subunit ribosomal RNA", at positions 2347 to 2854 of the family's 2925-position model. Lineage: Bacteria; Pseudomonadati; Pseudomonadota; Gammaproteobacteria; Enterobacterales; Enterobacteriaceae. The record is from RNAcentral.